This 247-nucleotide long non-coding RNA is filed under the name Ananas comosus (pineapple). RNAcentral describes it as "long non-coding RNA (ACOM_LNC032368)". The record is from RNAcentral. Lineage: Eukaryota; Viridiplantae; Streptophyta; Magnoliopsida; Poales; Bromeliaceae.
UUUUAAUUUUAAGGUUUUAAUGACUCAAAAAAAUUGAACUGAAUUUUAGGAUAUUGGAUUUAUUUUUUUUAAAAAAUAAUAAUAUAAAUAAUAAUAGGGUUUUAUAAAGGGGGACAUGGGUCAUGCCAUAUGGAGGAAAUUUAAUAUAGUAGUUGAUGAUAAAAUGAUAGAGAGAGAGAGAAAAAAAAGAUGUGAUUAUGAUUUUGCUUCAAAGGCAAUGAUUGGGUAUAAUAAAUAAAUAAAUAAA